AGAUAAUAUGGCACCCAUGACCUCUUUGCACAUCAAGGACUGUGCCUGAUCGCUUUGCCCUUCCACUCCUUUUGAAUGUCUUAGGCACCAAACAGAAAAUCUUGGCCUGGGUGUUGCUGAUAGUCAGCCGACACUUUCAAGCUAUCACUAGCUCUCUCAAAGAUAUGUAUCCUUCCAAAGAGAAUUUUUAUUGGUCUGGUAAUUAUUAGCAUAAUUUGCCAUUCAGAAGACCUACACAUACAGUCAUGGGAAAAAGAAAGUACACCCUCUUUGAAUUCUAUGGUUUUACAUAUCAG
Molecule: non-coding RNA, 296 nt
Organism: Pelobates cultripes (western spadefoot toad)
Lineage: Eukaryota; Metazoa; Chordata; Amphibia; Anura; Pelobatidae
Source: the annotation of a GenBank genome assembly